CCUACGGGUGGCAGCAGUGAGGAAUAUUGGUCAAUGGCCGAGAGGCUGAACCAGCCAAGCCGCGUGAAGGACGAAGGUGCCAAGCAUUGUAAACUUCUUUUGUCGGGGAGCAAAGAGAGUCACGUGUGACUCAUUGAGAGUACCCGAAGAAAAAGCAUCGGCUAACUCCGUGCCAGCAGCCGCGGUAAUACGGAGGAUGCGAGCGUUAUCCGGAUUUAUUGGGUUUAAAGGGUGCGCAGGCGGAGGUGCAAGUCAGCGGUCAAAUUGCGGGGCUCAACCCCGUACUGCCGUUGAAACUGCAUCCCUUGAGUGCGCGAGAAGUAUGCGGAAUACGUGGUGUAGCGGUGAAAUGCAUAGAUAUCACGCAGAACUCCGAUUGCGAAGGCAGCAUACCGGCGCGCAACUGACGCUCAUGCACGAAAGCGUGGGUAUCGAACAGGAUUAGAUACCCGGGUAGUC
Molecule: ribosomal RNA, 459 nt
Filed under: uncultured bacterium
Lineage: Bacteria
Description: partial 16S ribosomal RNA
Rfam family: Bacterial small subunit ribosomal RNA
Source: RNAcentral